AUGAACGCUGGCGGCGUGCCUAAUACAUGCAAGUCGCGCGAACAGACGAGGAGCUUGCUCCUCUGACGUUAGCGGCGGACGGGGGAGUAACACGUGGAUAACCUACCUAUAAGACUGGGAUAACUUCGGGAAACCGGAGCUAAUACCGGAUAAUAUAUUGAACCGCAUGGUUCAAUAGUGAAAGACGGUUUUGCUGUCACUUAUAGAUGGAUCCGCGCCGCAUUAGCUAGUUGGUAAGGUAACGGCUUACCAAGGCAACGAUGCGUAGCCGACCUGAGAGGGUGAUCGGCCACACUGGAACUGAGACACGGUCCAGACUCCUACGGGAGGCAGCAGUAGGGAAUCUUCCGCAAUGGGCGAAAGCCUGACGGAGCAACGCCGCGUGAGUGAUGAAGGUCUUCGGAUCGUAAAACUCUGUUAUUAGGGAAGAACAAAUGUGUAAGUAACUAUGCACGUCUUGACGGUACCUAAUCAGAAAGCCACGGCUAACUACGUG
RNAcentral lists this ribosomal RNA (496 nucleotides) under uncultured bacterium. Its description in RNAcentral is "partial 16S ribosomal RNA". It matches the Rfam family "Bacterial small subunit ribosomal RNA", at positions 29 to 507 of the family's 1533-position model. The record is from RNAcentral.